Molecule: ribosomal RNA, 830 nt
Filed under: uncultured Acidobacteriota bacterium
Lineage: Bacteria; Pseudomonadati; Acidobacteriota
Description: bacterial SSU rRNA
Rfam family: Bacterial small subunit ribosomal RNA
Source: RNAcentral
CAAGUCGAGCGAGAAAAGGGGGGCAACUCCCUGAGUAAAGCGGCGCACGGGUGAGUAACACGUGGGUAAUCUGCCCUGGAGUGGGGAAUAACACCGGGAAACCGGUGCUAAUACCGCAUACGAUCACAAGGUCUGCGGACAUUGUGAUGAAAGGAGCAAUUCGCUCUAGGAGGAGCCCGCGGCUGAUUAGCUAGUUGGUGAGGUAAUGGCCCACCAAGGCAACGAUCAGUAUCCGGUCUGAGAGGACGGUCGGACACACUGGAACUGAGACACGGUCCAGACUCCUACGGGAGGCAGCAGUGGGGAAUUUUUGGCAAUGGGGGCAACCCUGACCAAGCAACGCCGCGUGGGUGAUGAAGUCUCUUGGGACGUAAAACCCUUUCGACGGGGAAGAAACCGCAAGGUUGACGGUACCCGUAGAAGAAGCCCCGGCUAACUCCGUGCCAGCAGCCGCGGUAAUACGGGGGGGGCAAGCGUUGUUCGGAAUUACUGGGCGUAAAGGGCGCGUAGGCGGUUCGCUAAGUCGGAUGUGAAAACUCUGGGCUCAACCCAGAGCCUGCAUCCGAAACUGGCGGGCUAGAGUUCUGGAGGGGGUAGCGGAAUUCCUGGUGUAGCGGUGAAAUGCGUAGAUAUCAGGAGGAACACCGGUGGCGAAGGCGGCUACCUGGACAGAAACUGACGCUGAGGCGCGAAAGCUAGGGGAGCAAACAGGAUUAGAUACCCUGGUAGUCCUAGCCCUAAACGAUGGAUACUUGGUGUGACUGGGAUUGAAUCCAGUCGUGCCGAAGCUAACGCAUUAAGUAUCCCGCCUGGGGAGUACGGUCGCAAGG